This 127-nucleotide small nucleolar RNA is filed under the name Stegastes partitus (bicolor damselfish). RNAcentral's name for it is "Small nucleolar RNA SNORA71 (ENSSPAG00000001193.1)". It matches the Rfam family "Small nucleolar RNA SNORA71". From Rfam's summary of the family: The members of this family belong to the H/ACA class of snoRNAs which bind a number of proteins (including dyskerin, Gar1p and Nop10p) to form snoRNP complexes. This class of snoRNAs are thought to guide the sites of modification of uridines to pseudouridines by forming direct base pairing interactions with substrate RNAs. Lineage: Eukaryota; Metazoa; Chordata; Actinopteri; Pomacentridae. The record is from Rfam by way of RNAcentral.
CCCUGUAUCGAAAGUGACCAUGGCGUCCUUGUAGCCAGGUCAUUGAUAGUACAGGAACAUGAACCUGCGAGCCUUUCCCGUGUUUGAAGGAUCCUCAGUUCCUGUCAGACCCUGAUGCUCUCAAACA